Molecule: ribosomal RNA, 253 nt
Filed under: uncultured bacterium
Lineage: Bacteria
Description: partial 16S ribosomal RNA
Rfam family: Bacterial small subunit ribosomal RNA
Source: RNAcentral
UACGUAGGGUGCAAGCGUUGUCCGGAAUUAUUGGGCGUAAAGAGCUUGUAGGCGGUUUGUCGCGUCUGCUGUGAAAUUUCGGGGCUCAACCCCGAACUUGCAGUGGGUACGGGCAGACUAGAGUGUGGUAGGGGAGACUGGAAUUCCUGGUGUAGCGGUGAAAUGCGCAGAUAUCAGGAGGAACACCGAUGGCGAAGGCAGGUCUCUGGGCCACUACUGACGCUGAGGUGCGAAAGCGUGGGGAGCAAACAGG